GUGGGGCCGGCCCAGCUUUCCCGGACCAGGCCACCAGCUGCGGGCCCCCAACCUCGCUCAGACUCGUGCAGAGCCCAGGCUUGGGAGUGGCUUAAGGUUUUUUGCCCUCAACGUCCUUGCCUUCCUCCUGCUUAUCCACCUGGGAUCUUCACAGCAUCAUUUUCUGGGAUCCUCUCCAACCCCUCCCCUGUAACUCUGAGCGUGGGGCGCUGGGGAUGUGGAGUAGGCAGGGCUGAGGGCCUCAAUGAAGCGGGUGAACCCACGCGCGUGCGCACAGCCGCCCGCGCCGCGCCCCGGGCCGAUCCGGUUCUUGCCCUUGGGACGUGGCUGCGCCUCACCGCCCUACCCCGGGAGGGAACCCCCGCUGACUUUUUCCUCUCUUCAUUUUCCUCCCCAGGCGUCC
This 403-nucleotide long non-coding RNA is filed under the name Homo sapiens (human). RNAcentral's name for it is "non-protein coding lnc-FARS2-5:1". Lineage: Eukaryota; Metazoa; Chordata; Mammalia; Primates; Hominidae. The record is from RNAcentral.